Molecule: ribosomal RNA, 450 nt
Filed under: uncultured Actinomycetes bacterium
Lineage: Bacteria; Bacillati; Actinomycetota; Actinomycetes
Description: bacterial SSU rRNA
Rfam family: Bacterial small subunit ribosomal RNA
Source: RNAcentral
CAGGGAAUCUUGCGCAAUGGGCGAAAGCCUGACGCAGCAACGCCGCGUGGGGGAUGAAGGUCUUCGGGUUGUAAACCCCUUUCAGGAGGGAAGAAAUUGACGGUACCUCCAAAAGAAGGACCGGCCAACUACGUGCCAGCAGCCGCGGUAAUACGUAGGGUCCGAGCGUUAUCCGGAAUCAUUGGGCGUAAAGAGCUCGUAGGCGGUUCAGCAAGUCGGCUGUGAAAGUCUGAGGCUCAACCUCAGAAUUGCAGUCGAUACUGCUGUGACUCGAGUCCGGUAGAGGAGAAUGGAAUUCCCGGUGUAGCGGUGAAAUGCGCAGAUAUCGGGAGGAACACCAGUAGCGAAAGGCGGUUCUCUGGGCCGGCACUGACGCUGAGGAGCGAAAGCGUGGGGAGCAAACAGGAUUAGAUACCCUGGUAGUCCACGCCCGUAAAACGUUGGAUACUA